RNAcentral lists this long non-coding RNA (1080 nucleotides) under Homo sapiens (human). RNAcentral's name for it is "HSALNT0174067". Lineage: Eukaryota; Metazoa; Chordata; Mammalia; Primates; Hominidae. The record is from RNAcentral.
UUUGUCUCUUUUGAUUUUUCACUCAGAGCUAAUUUUAAGGGAAGUCUUCAGGAGACACAAAAGAUUUACAAUUGCAAGAAAAAUUACAUCUUUAGCUCUUAGGUUGCUUUGCAAAAUAAUUAAAUGUUGGCCUUUUACUUUUAUAAAGACCCAGUUUAAAUGACUUAGCCCAGGUCACCUGAAAAUCAUUGGUAAAAAUGACGUGUAGUCAAGCUGUGCUUCCAGAGUUACGCCCUUGAGAUCAAGGGAGUGAGAAUACAUCUUAUUCCAUAAACUUCAGGCAAUGUUGCAAGGGUUUGUGAAGACUUGGCCAGCUCUCCGUUGACAAUGGCCAAGGAAUAGAAGCUCUAGACCUCCCUUAUUUCUAUCGUGAAAACAGAGGUAUAUCCAAGUGAGGGACUACAACAGUAAUAAAGGGAAAAAAGUAUUUAAUUCCAAAAUAAAAUUGAAAAUAACCUCCUGUCUCAGCCUCUUUUUGGGAAUAUCUAGAAGGAGUGGAAAACCAUCUCUGGCUAUGAGACUUGUAUCACUACCCCUUUCUCCCUGGGGCGACAGGUAGAGGCUGUUGUAACCAUUUUGAACCUUGUCCUGGAGUGGCUUGUUGCUUUUCAGUUAAAGAGCUUGAGUGAGCCUGUCUGGGCCUCUGGCAGACCCAGGAAAUCUCUGGGAAAACAAGAGGCACUUGAACACUAGUGGCAGUAACAACACAUAGUGGCCUAAUGUCCAGUUUCUUUCAAGUUGAAAAGAAAAUAAAAAGAAAUCCAGACCACUGAAAAUGGAUCUGGCCAAUGAUGUUCACAGAAGAGAAAGGAAGUUUUUCAAGAUUGUGGGGUGAAGUGGAGGGAGAGAGGGAGGGGAGAGGGUAGACAGGGAGGAGCAGAGGAUAAAGCCAGUACUCUCUUGUUUGGUCAUAAACUUGCCUAUCUGGUGAUAAGAUUCCAAUGAUGGGAAUCCCUUUAACCUUUUGAGGGACUCCCCAGGCACUUAACUCAUCCUAAAUAGCAACUGCAUCAAGAACAGACACUGGUGUGUUUAAGUUUACAAAUACAGCCAUAAAAAUGUCAAACAGGAUCUACAUGG